Non-coding RNA from Physcomitrium patens, 919 nucleotides. The record is from RefSeq and is a predicted model, not a curated record. NCBI's taxonomy places the organism in Eukaryota, Viridiplantae, Streptophyta, Bryopsida, Funariales, Funariaceae.
CCUUACAUAGGUAUUUACUAAAAUUUUAUAGACUACAUAGUCGGUUUAGGGAUGGCAGACUGUGUGAUCAGGCUCAAAGCCUAUAUAACACUCACACUCUUAAGCAACCAUCGUUUUCACAAAGCUGUGAAGGAGCCCCCAAUUUCUCAGACCGCAAGACUGUUUGGAAGGAACUAGAACCGGCGAAGUGUUACCCUUUACUAGGUCUCGGUAAUACAAUGGGAAAUUCAAGUUCCUCAGAAGAAAGCCGCCGACGUAGAACUAAUGUUGCUGGACAGGUCGGUCCCCCUAGCAACAUUGCCGGACAGCAUUCCACGCAACCGGCAGCCAAUCAUCCACAGGUCCAUCACGCGCCGGUUCAUCACGCGCCGGUUCAUCACGCGCCGGCCCAUCACGGAGGCCAUCAUGGAGGAGGCCACGGAGGCUGCCAUCACGGAGGCCAUCAUGGAGGAGGCCACUGUGGGUUUUGAGGCCACAAGAUACAUGAGCAAACAAUGAGUUUAAAUAAACUGAGGCGCAGCUUCCGACGGUGGUUUCCAGCUCCCAGAAUUAUAGCGGAGUAGACGGGGGGAAAAGGGGGUCGGCGUGAAAUAGAGUGUCUGUUUGGUAUAAUGUCUGUUUGUAUGUGAAACUUAUACGCCGAAAUAAAGACCAAUGGGAAUGGAGGUUACACCGGUAGGAUAUAGAACCCGAAACCACCUUUUUGUGUUGAGGGAGCUCUCCCUAAUCUAGCCAUGUUCCCCAUUCCUACACCCAUUAAAUGCCAAGGGCUUCUGGUAUCAGUUCAGGUGAUUUUAAAUGGUGUACAAAUAAGGGAUCGCCCUAAACUUUGAUCUAUUUUUUCAGCUUCUCUUCUGUAUACAAUUUAAUAUACAAUCGAAGAAAAUUUGAUAAUAAACAAAAACCCACUUGGGGCUUG